GGGAAUUUUGCGCAAUGGGGGAAACCCUGACGCAGCAACGCCGCGUGCGGGAUGACGGCCUUCGGGUUGUAAACCGCUUUCAGUAGGGAAGAACAUCGACGGUACCUACAGAAGAAGCCCCGGCUAACUACGUGCCAGCAGCCGCGGUAAUACGUAGGGGGCAAGCGUUAUCCGGAUUCAUUGGGCGUAAAGCGCGCGUAGGCGGUUGCCUAAGCGGGACCUCUAAUCUUAGGGCUCAACCUUAAGCCGGGUCCCGAACUGGGUGACUUGAGUGCGGUAGAGGAAAGUGGAAUUCCCGGUGUAGCGGUGGAAUGCGCAGAUAUCGGGAAGAACACCGAUGGCGAAGGCAGCUUUCUGGGCCGCCACUGACGCUGAGGCGCGAAAGCUAGGGGAGCAAAC
This 399-nucleotide ribosomal RNA is filed under the name uncultured bacterium. Its description in RNAcentral is "bacterial SSU rRNA". It matches the Rfam family "Bacterial small subunit ribosomal RNA", at positions 357 to 773 of the family's 1533-position model. The record is from RNAcentral.